GAAGAAAGAAAAAGAUGUUUAUAAAAAAAACUAAGUGUAACGAAUGAUGGAGGCGCUUCCUCUGAGAUUUGAGAGGGUUGGGUCCUGUUGCACAGCCGUACAAAAACUAAACUUUUUUAUUUUUGCCCGUAACUACAGCACCUACUGAUUUUUCUUCAGUCAGCGCUUUUCUACUAUUAAACAGGUGUGGCUCGGUAAAGCUGAGGAUUGUUGCGAAAGAAAACAAUAGCGGGACGGUAUCGUGUGUUUGGUCUCCUUUUGAUCUGUUUCCAUCAGCGGUGGAGUUUAAAGCACUUUUACUCGCACCCAGAGGGUGGUGUAUGCGCGUUGAUGCCUUGAAGGCUGGUAACUUCACCUCGACCGCACGAUUGUCUGCGAGCAUGAGUGGACCCGGGAGUUCACAGUGAGCCGCCUCAAUGCCGGAAUUGGAACAAUUUGAUGUGAGGAAGACAAUCCUGACCUGGAUGGGCCACUUCUUCAACCACGUUCAGAGGCGGCUGCAUUACAUCCACAGCCACCACUUCCACCACUGGCCAAGGGCCCACCAGCCCCAGACAAAGUGAUUCUACCCAGAUCUGCCUACUUAAGCAGGUCACACCACCUACUGCAACUCGCAUGUGCCAACAAGAACAGCAGGAGCUGAAGCCAACUCCAGCUGACACUAGGGAAGUUUAAGCUCUAGAAGAAAUGGAUAUUAAAGGACACUUUCCGAGCAUGAUCACAAUGUACACAAAGUAACAGGGCCUGACGGUCACCAAUGUAAAUACACCGCCUGUGGACACUGAAAGACAAUAAACAUGCUCAUGAUCACCUCUCUGAUCAGAGAGAGGCCAGAGGGAAAAAGUUUGGCAUGGAGAUGAAGUUUGCAAAGUAUUUUGCCCCACCUCACUUGAACUGGCUCCUGUUGGUAAGGAAAUAAGGGGCUGAUAUUGAAUUAAGUAUGACUGGACUGGUGAUAAU
Molecule: long non-coding RNA, 960 nt
Organism: Hemibagrus wyckioides
Lineage: Eukaryota; Metazoa; Chordata; Actinopteri; Siluriformes; Bagridae
Exons: 3
Source: RefSeq, a predicted model, not a curated record